CCCUGUUAUGACAGGCUAUAUUUAAAGGUCCCUGUUUAACAGGCUAUAUUUAAAGGUCCCUGUUUAACAGGCUAUAUUUAAAGGUCCCUGUUUAGCAGGCUAUAUUAGAGAUCCCUGUGUAUCAGGCUAUGUUAAAAAGUCCCUGUUUAGCAGGCUAUACUUAAAGGUCCCUGCGGGGCAGGCAUAAACUGAUUUUAUUUUAAGGUUUCUGAUUCAACAGGUUAUACUUAAAGGUCCCUGCGUGGCAGGCAUACACUGAUUUUAUUUUAAGGUUUUUGAUUUAACAGGUUAUACUUAAAGGUCCCUGCUAGGCAGGCAUGUACAAGGUCCCAAACCUCUGGUUUAGGCAUAUUUUUACGAACAUAAACUUAGGUUAUGUAAAACGUCAAGAAUUUAUAUUGUGGUUAAGUUACUUUUAUUUUGGAAAGUUGGAUCCUUAAACUAGUUUUGUUUAGCCUUAAUCCCUCAGAGGUUAAUAUGGCAAGCCUUGAAAUGUUUGUUUUGCGUUGAUGUUGUAAAAGUAACUGACAGUAAAAUCAGUUAAGGAAAUUUUGUCUUCAAGAUUAAUUCAGAUUAAUUCUGAUUUGUUCCCCGAAUAUAUUUUGAACAGUAAGUGUUCUGAAAUAUUUACAGAUUACCGCUGUCAAAGUUUACACGCUGUCAUGUGUUCAAACUGCAAACGGUGCGAGGACACCCCGACGUCAGGAAGGCCGUGAUAGCUGGCUUCUCUAAAUUACGUCAGCUUACGACACCUGAUCUGAGACCGCCGCAGCGUGGCCCUUCUUCGAAAAACAAAGCUGGAGCAAUAUUGCGAAUGUUGCAUCAUUCUUAUAAGUUUAGUCAGUUUAGAUCGACUUUCGAACUAUUCACGUAUUUCUAAGCGGAAUAAAACGUAUUUUGAGGAA
RNAcentral lists this long non-coding RNA (905 nucleotides) under Sitophilus oryzae (rice weevil). RNAcentral's name for it is "uncharacterized LOC115878873". The record is from RNAcentral. Lineage: Eukaryota; Metazoa; Arthropoda; Insecta; Coleoptera; Curculionidae.